UUAAGAAUCUUGCACAAUGGGGGCAACCCUGAUGCAGCGACGCCGCGUGAAUGAUGAAGGCCUUCGGGUUGUAAAGUUCAGUAAGCAGGGAAGAAUAAGCAACGGGUAAUAUUCGUUGUGAUGACGGUACCUGCCUAAAGCCCCGGCUAACUACGUGCCAGCAGCCGCGGUAAUACGUAUGGGGCAAGCGUUGUUCGGAAUUAUUGGGCGUAAAGGGCGUCUAGGCGGGGGAUUAAGUUAGAUGUGAAAGCCACGGGCUCAACCCGUGAACUGCAUCUAAGACUGGUUCUCUUGAGUUCGGGAGAGGAGAGCGGAAUUCCAGGUGUAGCGGUGAAAUGCGUAGAUAUCUGGAAGAACACCAGUGGCGAAGGCGGCUCUCUGGCCUAGAACUGACGCUGAAGCGCGAAAGCGUGGGGAGCGAACA
RNAcentral lists this ribosomal RNA (424 nucleotides) under uncultured prokaryote. RNAcentral describes it as "bacterial SSU rRNA". It matches the Rfam family "Bacterial small subunit ribosomal RNA", at positions 355 to 774 of the family's 1533-position model. The record is from RNAcentral.